UGGGGAAUUUUGGACAAUGGGCGAAAGCCUGAUCCAGCAAUGCCGCGUGUGUGAAGAAGGCCUUCGGGUUGUAAAGCACUUUUGUCCGGAAAGAAAUCCUUGGCUCUAAUACAGUCGGGGGAUGACGGUACCGGAAGAAUAAGCACCGGCUAACUACGUGCCAGCAGCCGCGGUAAUACGUAGGGUGCAAGCGUUAAUCGGAAUUACUGGGCGUAAAGCGUGCGCAGGCGGUUUGCUAAGACCGAUGUGAAAUCCCCGGGCUCAACCUGGGAACUGCAUUGGUGACUGGCAGGCUAGAGUAUGGCAGAGGGGGUAGAAUUCCACGUGUAGCAGUGAAAUGCGUAGAGAUGUGGAGGAAUACCGAUGGCGAAGGCAGCCCCCUGGGCCAAUACUGACGCUCAUGCACGAAAGCGUGGGGAGCAAACAGGAUUAGAUACCCUGGUAGUCCACGCCCUAAACGAUGUCAACUAGUUGUUGGGGAUUCAUUUCCUUAGUAACGUAGCUAACGCGUGAAGUUGACCGCCUGGGGAGUACGGUCGCAAAGAUUAAAACUCAAAGGAAUUGACGGGGUCAUAGCUGUUCCU
RNAcentral lists this ribosomal RNA (584 nucleotides) under uncultured bacterium. Its description in RNAcentral is "partial 16S ribosomal RNA". It matches the Rfam family "Bacterial small subunit ribosomal RNA", at positions 355 to 937 of the family's 1533-position model. The record is from RNAcentral.